This is a non-coding RNA of Delphinapterus leucas (beluga whale), 985 nucleotides long. The record is from RefSeq and is a predicted model, not a curated record. Lineage: Eukaryota; Metazoa; Chordata; Mammalia; Artiodactyla; Monodontidae.
CAAGACAAAGCACCUUAUGGAGACGUCCACAUGGAGAGGAACCAAAGCUUCUGACCCUCAGCCCGGCCAACAGCCCCAGCCAACAGCCAGCACCAUCUUGCUGGCCACGUGAGUGAGCCGUCUUGGAAGGAGAUCCUCUGGCAGACAGUCAAGUCACCCCAGAGGAAGGAGAGAGAAGCCAUUCUUGCCAAGCCGUGCCCAAAGUGCUGAUCUGGUUUCCAGAGGUUGGAGCCAGCUGCUGGUGCUGGUUCUACACUGUGUGAUGUGUCUUCUCUCUAAAGGACUGCUCAUCCGUGGCGCAAAGAACCCAUCCUAGAGCCACCCCAGGAACUAGAAAAAACAAAUCUUUUGCCAGAAUUAUGAUCUUCCAAGAAUACAAUGAAACGUGUGCCAUGGAGGCAUUGGUUAGACUUAUGGGCAUUACAGAAGGUUCUGUCUCAGAAAAAUACAGGAACCUGCCUGCUCAAAGAUGUUUUGGAGAUCCAAAAGAAGAGGUGCUGAUUACAUGGCAUAUUCACUUCAUGUAAACCUAUCAAGCUGUAUAAUGCUGAACUAAAACCAAUAAAACACCGGGUUAUUUUAUCACCAAAAUGGGUUUAUCCAGGAACAGAAGAAUUGCAACUCAGGUCUCACAAUCUAUGAGGAACUACAGGCAAGCCCAGAGAGCAAAGGAAGGGAGUCUGCUUUUAUAAGGAAAAGGGGGGAGUUGGGAGGGGCUAUUCUACGUGAAAGUUCGUUGGAGGAAAGUAGGAGUUCAGGGGUGGCAAUGACUUCUCAUUGGCUGGGCUGUUGCUAAGCGAGGAGAAAUUCUUCCUUUGGUAUAGUAAAGCGGUUGCCCCUCCUGUUUGGGAGUGCAAGGUAGUUUGUUUCCGUGGGGUACACAAUUGGCAUCAAGGAGCAGGGCAUGAGAGCUCCCCCUUCUGGCCUCUUGACUCCAUCUUUUCUUUUGUUUUAUAAUUUUAUUUAUUUAUUUAUUUUUGGCUGC